Oncorhynchus keta (chum salmon) is the source of this 527-nucleotide long non-coding RNA. RefSeq lists it as uncharacterized. The transcript is spliced from 4 exons. The record is from RefSeq and is a predicted model, not a curated record. NCBI's taxonomy places the organism in Eukaryota, Metazoa, Chordata, Actinopteri, Salmoniformes, Salmonidae.
CCCUCACUGGCCAAUCAGAAUGUGUUGUAGGUGUGUUGAGGCAUGACCCCCUCACUGGCCAAUCAGAAUGUGUUGUAGGUGUGUUGAGGCAUGACCCCCUCACUGGCCAAUCAGAAUGUGUUGUAGGUGUGUUGAGGCAUGACCCCCUCACUGGCCAAUCAGAAAGUGUUGUAGGUGUGUUGAGGCAUGACCCCCUCACUGGCCAAUCAGAACGUGUUGUAGGUGUGUUGAGGCAUGACCCCCUCACUGGCCAAUCAGAACGUGUUGUAGGUGUGUUGAGGCAUGACCCCCUCACUGGCCAAUCAGAACGUGUUGUAGGUGUGUUGAGGCAUGACCCCCUCACUGGCCAAUCAGAACGUGUUGUAGGUGUGUUGAGGCAUGACCCCCUCACUGGCCAAUCAGAACGUGUUGUAGGUGUGUUGAGGCAUGACCCCCUCACUGGCCAAUCAGAACGUGCUCCAGGGCUAAAUAUGUGGUUGCUUCAAGUUGGGUAUUUACAGUCUUUUAUAUAUUGCGUUGUCAUCAAC